Molecule: ribosomal RNA, 867 nt
Filed under: Elsinoe abutilonis
Lineage: Eukaryota; Fungi; Ascomycota; Dothideomycetes; Myriangiales; Elsinoaceae
Description: LSU rRNA
Rfam family: Eukaryotic large subunit ribosomal RNA
Source: RNAcentral
AUUGCCUCAGUAACGGCGAGUGAAGCGGCAACAGCUCAAAUUUGAAAUCUGGCGCCUUCGGCGUCCGAGUUGUAAUUUGUAGAGGAUGCUAUUGGGUUGCCACCGGUCUAAGUUCCUUGGAACAGGACGUCACAGAGGGUGAGAAUCCCGUAUGUGACCGGCCAGGCGCCUUCUGUAUAGCUCCUUCGACGAGUCGGGUUGUUUGGGAAUGCAGCCCUAAAUGGGAGGUAAAUUUCUUCUAAAGCUAAAUACCGGCCAGAGACCGAUAGCGCACAAGUAGAGUGAUCGAAAGAUGAAAAGCACUUUGGAAAGAGAGUUAAAAAGCACGUGAAAUUGUUGAAAGGGAAGCGCUUGCAAUCAGUCUCGACGGCGGCUGUUCGGCCUCUCUUCUGAGUGGUUUAUUCAGUCGCCGCCGGGCCAGCAUCAGUUUUGGCGGUCGGAUAAAGGCGUGGGGAAUGUAGCUCCUCCGGGAGUGUUAUAGCCCCGCGUGCAAUACGGCCCGCCGGGACUGAGGUCCGCGCUUCGGCUAGGAUGCUGGCGAAAUGGUUGUAAGCGGCCCGUCUUGAAACACGGACCAAGGAGUCUAACAUCUACGCGAGUGUUUGGGUGUCAAACCCGUGCGCGCAAUGAAAGUGAACGGAGGUGGGAACCGCAAGGUGCACCAUCGACCGAUCCUGAUGUCUUCGGAUGGAUUUGAGUAAGAGCGUAGCUGUUGGGACCCGAAAGAUGGUGAACUAUGCCUGAAUAGGGUGAAGCCAGAGGAAACUCUGGUGGAGGCUCGCAGCGGUUCUGACGUGCAAAUCGAUCGUCAAAUUUGGGUAUAGGGGCGAAAGACUAAUCGAACCAUCUAGUAGCUGGUUCCUGCCG